GGGCUGAGGCGGGUGUCCCCUUCCUCCCUCAAUGCUCCAUGUGUGUCCCUCUCUAAGCUGCUUGCCCUGAGGACAACCACCCCCGAUAGAGGGUGGACCAUUCCUCCGUCAAGGGUAUAGGAGCAACUGCGCUCCCCUGCUACAACCUUCAAACAAGCUCUCAAAAGGGCUGAAGCAGAGGCAGGUCCAGUUAGGCUUUUUAAUUCUGUCAGGACCAUAUUU
This 222-nucleotide small RNA is filed under the name Chinchilla lanigera (long-tailed chinchilla). RNAcentral's name for it is "7SK RNA (ENSCLAG00000021422.1)". It matches the Rfam family "7SK RNA", at positions 72 to 331 of the family's 331-position model. From Rfam's summary of the family: 7SK was discovered as an abundant small nuclear RNA in the mid-70s but a possible function has only recently been suggested. Two independent studies have found that 7SK RNA binds the CDK9/cyclin T complex (known as elongation factor P-TEFb). P-TEFb activates transcription by phosphorylating the C-terminal domain of RNA polymerase II. Lineage: Eukaryota; Metazoa; Chordata; Mammalia; Rodentia; Chinchillidae. The record is from Rfam by way of RNAcentral.